Molecule: long non-coding RNA, 474 nt
Organism: Clupea harengus (Atlantic herring)
Lineage: Eukaryota; Metazoa; Chordata; Actinopteri; Clupeiformes; Clupeidae
Exons: 2
Source: RefSeq, a predicted model, not a curated record
GUUGGCAGUGGUAUUAUAAGCGGUAUAUUGACGUGCGCAAGGGUGGCAUUGGUGGGAUAUCUAUGCUUCUUGCUGGCUACUGCGUCCUAAGCUACGUGUGGAGCUAUCCACACCUAAAACAUGAACGUUGGAGGAAGUAUCAUUGAGGAGGGACCAAUCUGACGUGGGACCUUGACCGAUGAACUCAGAUCAACUCUGAAUGAAGAAUAUACCGUGUGCUGUGCGUUCGAUACAACGGACAAGUGAUAAUGAAUUAAGCAUUUUUGAAUGUGAGCAUUUAUAUGUAUUUAAAUGAGUUGAUAGGGGAAUGUAUUUUUGUCUAAACACCAUGGAUUAAUGUAUGUAAUACAUAUUAAUGUACAUGAACUAAGGGAGUGUUUUUGCAGUCUCAAACAACCGUCACUGACUUGUAGUAUGUACAUGUAUUUUUUUUUUAGACCAAUAAAGGUCAAGCUGUCACAGCACUAACAUGAA